Molecule: long non-coding RNA, 585 nt
Filed under: Salmo salar (Atlantic salmon)
Lineage: Eukaryota; Metazoa; Chordata; Actinopteri; Salmoniformes; Salmonidae
Description: lncRNA (ENSSSAG00000118475.1)
Source: RNAcentral
GUUGGAUGGACCCUACAGUGUUCUGUAACUGAACUAUUGUAGCUCAGUCUCAUUUUGGUUGGAUGGACCCUACAGUGUUCUGUAACUGAGAGGGUUUGUGUAUUUGUUGUGUAUAACUAGUGUGACUCGUACAACCUGUGCUGCCUGCUUUGUCACUUUCAAAUGUCACUCCUCUCUCUUUAGAGGGAGGUAGCUACUAGCUAGGUAGCGUGUUGUGUUCCAGGCUAGAGGGUGGUAGCUAUUAGCUAGGUAGCGUAUUGUGUUCCAGGCUAGAGGGUGGUAGCUACUAGCUAGGUAGCGUGUUGUGUUCCAGGCUAGAGGGUGGUAGCUACUAGCUAGGUAGCGUGUUGUGUUCCAGGCUAGAGGGAGGUAGCUACUAGCUAGGUAGCGUGUUGUGUUCCAGGCUAGAGGGUGGUAGCUAUUAGCUAGGUAGCGUGUUGUGUUCCAGGCUAGAGGGUGGUAGCUACUAGCUAGGUAGCGUGUUGUGUUCCAGGCUAGAGGGUGGUAGCUAUUAGCUAGGUAGCGUGUUGUGUUCCAGGCUAGAGGGAGGUAGCUACUAGCUAGGUAGCGUGUUGUGUUCCAGGC